CUGUCAGUGGUGUUCACUAUGGACAUAAUUUUUUAAUAUGAAAAUCAGUGUGACUGAUAGGAUUUACGAUUUUCUCUUCUCCAGUGAAUUGCCUGCAGCUGCCUGUUUCCUGAUGGUACAUCCCUGUUCUGAAUUGGGUAAUAUUUUGUGUUACAGGGUAGAGUGAGAAUGCUCAGACUCUUUGUUAUUAGCGGGAGGGUAACUGGGAGUAGAGAACAGGGUUGAGGUUGAAGAUCAUCCAGUAAAAACUCUUCUGCCUUAGCAAAGAAUUACUUUUUUUGUAGGUAACUUUCAUGUAUUGCAAUCAAUCCCUUUUUGCUCCCCCUGCUACAAUAUAGGUUUUUUAAAAAUUUAUCUGCUUCAUAUCCACCAUGUCUGAGCUACAUUACAGACUAGCACAAUACCCCUGGAACAUAAUCAUAUAUGGGAAAUUUAAUUUGGCAUUCUAAACCAUCUAUUAAUUUCUUAAAAAUUUCUGGACAGUCCCUUCUUAUAAGAGGAAAUUAUAACAUAAAUGAGGUAAUUUCAGUUUUAUGUGACUAAUGCUGCUGCUGCUAAGUCACUUCAAUCGUGUCUGACUCUGUGUGACCCCAUAGACGGCAGCCCAUCAGGCUCCCCGAUCCCUGGGAUUUUCCAGGCAAGAACACUGGAGUGGGUUGCCAUUUCCUUCUCCAAAGCAUGAAAGUGAAAAGUGAAAGUGAAGUCGCUCAGUCGUGUCCGACUCUUAGCGACCCCAUGGACUGCAACCUACCAGGCUCCACUGUUCAUGGGAUUUUCCAGGCAAGAGUACUGGAGUGGGUUGCCAUUGUGUACUUGAAUAAAUCUGGGAGACUUGAAUAAAUUUGAGACACUGUAGCUCUUAAUUCACAACUGAUUUACAGAUCAAAUUAACAUCACAUGUGUUUCCAAAAAACAUCAGGAGACUAUUGAAAGUUGUUUUGGUUAGAUGCCUAGAAAAAAAAAAAAAAAAAAAAACUUAACAUCUUCUCUGAAGGAAUAGAUAUUUGUCCUUUUUCUCAAGUAACAUAAGUUUUUAAAGACAAGUGUACAUUUUAAUAUACAAAACCUACUAGUAAAGAUGACAACAUGAGAAAGAAGCUUCACGGUCAACUCAGAGCAAAAGAGGUCAUCUAAGAAAACGAUGUCAAAGUUUAUUUUUGGGGGCUCCAAAAUCACUGCAGAUGGUGAUUGCAGCCGUGAUAUUAAAAUAAAAAUAAUAAUAAUAGAAAAAUAAAAGAUGGUUAUUCAUUGGAAGGAAAGUUAUGACCAACCUAAAUAGCAUUUAAAAAAGCAG
Bos taurus (domestic cattle) is the source of this 1294-nucleotide long non-coding RNA. The record is from Ensembl. Lineage: Eukaryota; Metazoa; Chordata; Mammalia; Artiodactyla; Bovidae.